UUUUAAUAGCUUAUUUGAGAGUACGAUGUUGAAGAUAUCGGGGAAGUAUAUUUACUUUAAAAUAU
RNAcentral lists this transfer RNA (65 nucleotides) under Eropterus sp. UPOL A00546. RNAcentral's name for it is "tRNA-Phe". Lineage: Eukaryota; Metazoa; Arthropoda; Insecta; Coleoptera; Lycidae. The record is from RNAcentral.